CAGUCGCCGCGGUAAUACGGAGGGGGCUAGCGUUGUUCGGAAUUACUGGGCGUAAAGCGCACGUAGGCGGCUUGGUAAGUUAGAGGUGAAAGCCUGGAGCUCAACUCCAGAAUUGCCUUUAAGACUGCCGAGCUAGCAGGUGAGAGAGGUAAGUGGAAUUCCGAGUGUAGAGGUGAAAUUCGUAGAUAUUCGGAAGAACACCAGUGGCGAAGGCGGCUUACUGGCUCAUACUGGACGCUGAGGUGCGAAAGCGUGGGGAGCAAACAGGAUUAGAUACCCCAGUAGUCCCUGUCUCUUAUAA
Molecule: ribosomal RNA, 301 nt
Filed under: uncultured bacterium
Lineage: Bacteria
Description: partial 16S ribosomal RNA
Rfam family: Bacterial small subunit ribosomal RNA
Source: RNAcentral